RNAcentral lists this transfer RNA (64 nucleotides) under Actinomycetes bacterium. Its description in RNAcentral is "Actinobacteria bacterium tRNA-Asp". The record is from RNAcentral. Lineage: Bacteria; Bacillati; Actinomycetota; Actinomycetes.
GAGUGACGCCGAGUACGGAGCGGCCUGUCACGCCGGAGGUCGCGGGUUCGAGUCCCGUCGCUCC